GAUGAACGCUAGCUACAGGCUUAACACAUGCAAGUCGAGGGGAAACGACAUCGAAAGCUUGCUUUUGAUGGGCGUCGACCGGCGCACGGGUGAGUAACGCGUAUCCAACCUGCCCACCACUUGGGGAUAACCUUGCGAAAGUAAGACUAAUACCCAAUGAUAUCUCUAGAAGACAUCUGAAAGAGAUUAAAGAUUUAUCGGUGAUGGAUGGGGAUGCGUCUGAUUAGCUUGUUGGGGGGGUAACGGCCCAUCAAGGCAACGAUCAGUAGGGGUUCUGAGAGGAAGGUCCCCCACAUUGGAACUGAGACACGGUCCAAACUCCUACGGGAGGCAGCAGUGAGGAAUAUUGGUCAAUGGACGAGAGUCUGAACCAGCCAAGUAGCGUGCAGGAAGACGGCCCUAUGGGUUGUAAACUGCUUUUAUAAGGGAAUAAAGUGAGUCUCGUGAGACUUUUUGCAUGUACCUUAUGAAUAAGGACCGGCUAAUUCCGUG
Molecule: ribosomal RNA, 492 nt
Filed under: uncultured bacterium
Lineage: Bacteria
Description: partial 16S ribosomal RNA
Rfam family: Bacterial small subunit ribosomal RNA
Source: RNAcentral